CGUANACACCGCCCGUCACAUCAUGAGAGUUGUUUGUACCCGAAAUUAUUUUAGCCAACCUGAAAAGGGGGCGGAUACCUAAGGUAUGUAUGGUGAUUGGGAGUG
This 105-nucleotide ribosomal RNA is filed under the name uncultured bacterium. Its description in RNAcentral is "partial 16S ribosomal RNA". The record is from RNAcentral.